This is a non-coding RNA of Cinara cedri, 333 nucleotides long. The record is from the annotation of a GenBank genome assembly. Lineage: Eukaryota; Metazoa; Arthropoda; Insecta; Hemiptera; Aphididae.
AACUACAAAAUGGCUACCUCAAUUUGUUUUCGGAAUAUUAUGCUUUUUCUACUAAGAGAGAUAAUAAGAGUACCUAUGUGAAAUAUCACAAUUUAAUAAUGCGCAUACCUCGCUUGAAAAUUAAAAUGGAAAAAAAUAACGCCAAUGUUAUACAGAUAGAUAAUCGUUUUAUUAUCUUAAGUUUGAUAAUAAUUCAGUUCAUUCUAAUAUAAAAACUAACAGCCUAAAGUUGUUUCUGCUGAACCCAAAUUUGCUUUGUCGUACGUCUGUAUAAGACACAGAUAACGGUACAUGCGAGUGUCAAGUACCUCAUUUGUGCGUGUCUAUGCGUUU